CAGGUUCACCUAUGUGAAAGAUCAGUGAACCAACGUGUAGUGCGGCUUCUCUUGCUGAGAUUACGGACGUGAUAAGUCACAGGAUGAGUGACUGUGGAAAGAACUGGAGGCACGUGCAUGAGUGCCUCACACUGUUGGGUUGUUUUAUCAGUAGUGGAUGAGAAACAGUCACACACUGUCAAGAGCUUCUUCAACACUGAGACACAGAAGAAUUUUUGUUUUACGGGUAACGCUGGGAGGGAUCAAGCUUAAGCAGCCUGACUCUUUUCAACCGAUGUACCACCAAAGUUGCCCACCAAAGGUUACCUGAAAAUACAUUUCUACCUUUCAAUGUGCCUUUAACCAAACAUCAAGACUAAAAGGACCUGAAGUGAAGAUGAGCUGAUCCCCUCCAUAACCACUUCACCGUCGCCCUGUUUUGCCAGAAGGUCUGCAGAUGAAUGGCCACUGGCGGAUAAGAAUGCUGUCAGCCGCAUCUGGAGCUGAAGUAUGAUGUUUAAAAUGUGCACAGUUUGAACAGAGCAUACAUCCUAGUUAAAACAGGACCUUCAGCUUCCUGAAGUUUAUCAAAAUAAAUCUGAUUUGAAAGUUAUUGCA
RNAcentral lists this long non-coding RNA (597 nucleotides) under Numida meleagris (helmeted guineafowl). RNAcentral's name for it is "lncRNA (ENSNMEG00000011754.1)". Lineage: Eukaryota; Metazoa; Chordata; Aves; Galliformes; Numididae. The record is from RNAcentral.